GUUCCCCUGUGCUGUGCCCGUGGUGUCCCUGCGCCCGUGGUGUCCCUGUGCCAUGUCCCUGUGCCGUGUCCCUGUGCUGUGCCACGUCCCCGUGCCACGCUGCAGCCUCAUGCCUAUUGCACCACCCUCCAUCCUCGUGCCCCGUGGCCUGUCCUCGUGUCCACCGCAUCCUCGUGUCCACCGCGUCCUCGUGCCCGUGGCGAGCGGGGCAGGACGGGUCCCGUGGUGCCACAGCCACGUCGGUGCCACGUCGCAUCCCUCCCGCCGCCCCCACCGGGCUCGGUGCGGUGCCGUUGCCUGGUGACAGCUUCGUGGCCGCCCACGCAGGGAGCUGCCGGCGGCACUGCCGCAGGGCUGGGGGCGGCCGUGGCCCCCCCCCUCACACCCCAGGGCUGGGGGGCUGGGGGGGGUGCCGGGGGUGUCCGGGCACCGCCUCACCCCGCUCCUCCCUGCAGAGGCCUUGGUGAACAGCCAGGAAUGGACCCUCGGCCGCUCCGUCCCCGAGAUCCGCCUGGUGGGUACCGUGUCCUGGUGGCCCUGCCCCGUGUCCUGGUGGCCCCCCAGCCGUGCUGAUGUCCCCUCUGUCCUCCCCCCAGGGCGUCCUGGGCAGCAGCAAGAGCGGGAAGUCGGCGCUCGUCCACCGCUUCCUCACCGGCUCCUACGUGGGGCUGGAGCCCACGGAGAGUGAGUGGCCGUGGGAUGGGGGCGGCUGCGGGGUGGGGGCUGCUGUAGGGUUGGCCAUGGCCAUGGGACACGUGUGGCCAUGAGGUGGCCGUGGCCAUGGGACAGACGUGGUGGCCAAGAGAGGGACAUGGCCAUGGGAUGGAUGUGGUGGCCAUGGGAUGGACGUGGCCAUGGGAUGGACGUGUCCGUGGGACAGGC
RNAcentral lists this long non-coding RNA (882 nucleotides) under Anas platyrhynchos platyrhynchos (common mallard). RNAcentral's name for it is "lncRNA (ENSAPLG00000030951.1)". The record is from RNAcentral. Lineage: Eukaryota; Metazoa; Chordata; Aves; Anseriformes; Anatidae.